Molecule: microRNA precursor, 159 nt
Organism: Oryza sativa Indica Group (long-grained rice)
Lineage: Eukaryota; Viridiplantae; Streptophyta; Magnoliopsida; Poales; Poaceae
Rfam family: MIR807 microRNA precursor family
Source: Rfam
AACCACACUAUCAAUGAAUGGAUUCACCCGCGAGAUGACGUGACUGUUUCACCUUAAGACGAGGACAUGUCAUCUUCGAGUGUGGAACAACCACGUCCUCAUCCUAGAUGGAACAACCACGUCAUCUCACAGGUAAAUUCAUUCAUCGAUAGUGUGAUU